Molecule: ribosomal RNA, 482 nt
Filed under: uncultured bacterium
Lineage: Bacteria
Description: partial 16S ribosomal RNA
Rfam family: Bacterial small subunit ribosomal RNA
Source: RNAcentral
AUUGAACGCUGGCGGCAUGCUUUACACAUGCAAGUCGAACGGUCACAGGCCGCAAUGUCCUGACGAGUGGCGAACGGGUGAGUAAUGCUACGGAAUGUGCCCCCUCGUUGGGGGUAAGUACUCGAAAGAGUAGCUAAUACCGCAUACCAUAUAUUGUAUAAAGCGGGGUGCCUCAAUGCUUCGCGCGAUUGUUGCGGUCCCUGACAGAUUAGGUAGUUGGUGAGGUAAAGGCUCACCAAGGCAACGAUCUGUAGCUGGUCUGAGAGGAUGAGCCGCCACACUGGAACUGAGACACGGCCCAGACUCCUACGGGAGGCAGCAGUAGGGAAUUUUGGACAAUGGGCGAAAGCCUGACCCAGCAAUGCCGCGUGAAGGAAGAAGGCCUUCGGAUUGUAAAAUGCUUUUAUACGGAAAGAAAAGGCUCUGGAUAAUACCCGCAGCUAAUGACGGUACCGUAAGAAAAAGCACCGGCUAACUACGUG